AUGAACGCUGGCGGCGUGCCUCAUACAUGCACGUCGAGCGAACAGACGAGGAGCUUGCUCCUUUGACGUUAGCGGCGGACGGGUGAGUAACACGUGGAUAACCUACCUAUAAGACUGGGAUAACUUCGGGAAACCGGAGCUAAUACCGGAUAACAUGUUGAACCGCAUGGUUCAACAGUGAAAGACGGUCUUGCUGUCACUUAUAGAUGGAUCCGCGCCGCAUUAGCUAGUUGGUAAGGUAACGGCUUACCAAGGCAACGAUGCGUAGCCGACCUGAGAGGGUGAUCGGCCACACUGGAACUGAGACACGGUCCAGACUCCUACGGGAGGCAGCAGUAGGGAAUCUUCCGCAAUGGGCGAAAGCCUGACGGAGCAACGCCGCGUGAGUGAAGAAGGUCUUCGGAUCGUAAAACUCUGUUAUUAGGGAAGAACAAAUGUGUAAGUAACUAUGCACGUCUUGACGGUACCUAAUCAGAAAGCCACGGCUAACUACGUG
Molecule: ribosomal RNA, 496 nt
Filed under: uncultured bacterium
Lineage: Bacteria
Description: partial 16S ribosomal RNA
Rfam family: Bacterial small subunit ribosomal RNA
Source: RNAcentral